GACCAGACUCCUACGGGAGGCAGCAGUAGGGAAUCUUUCACAAUGGGCGAAAGCCUGAUGCAGCAACGCCGCGUGAAGGAAGAAGGGUUUCGGCUCGUAAACUUCUCUCAACAGGGACGAAAGAAAUGACGGUACCUGAAUAAGAAGCUCCGGCUAACUACGUGCCAGCAGCCGCGGUAAUACGUAGGUGGCAAGCGUUGUCCGGAAUUACUGGGUGUAAAGGGAGCGCAGGCGGGAAGCCAAGUCAGCUGUGAAAACUACGGGCUUAACUUGUAGACUGCAGUUGAAACUGGUUUUCUUGAGUGAAGUAGAGGUUGGCGGAAUUCCGAGUGUAGCGGUGAAAUGCGUAGAUAUUCGGAGGAACACCGGUGGCGAAGGCGGCCAACUGGGCUUUAACUGACGCUGAGGCUCGAAAGUGUGGGGAGCAAACAGGAUUAGAUACCCUUGUAC
RNAcentral lists this ribosomal RNA (450 nucleotides) under uncultured bacterium. Its description in RNAcentral is "bacterial SSU rRNA". It matches the Rfam family "Bacterial small subunit ribosomal RNA", at positions 329 to 793 of the family's 1533-position model. The record is from RNAcentral.